Molecule: long non-coding RNA, 537 nt
Organism: Sebastes umbrosus (honeycomb rockfish)
Lineage: Eukaryota; Metazoa; Chordata; Actinopteri; Perciformes; Sebastidae
Exons: 2
Source: RefSeq, a predicted model, not a curated record
UGGCUACAAUCCAAUGCCAUCCUCUCUUUCUUGGUUUAUACAUGGCAUCAUCUUUUUAUACUUACUCCUAUUAAACUGCCAAAUUCAACACAUCGGCCUGUUCCUUGGAGCUUGAUAAGGAGAGUGUUUAGCUGCCUGUAUAGCUGAGUAUACGUUCAUGGGGACAACACUUAGCGAGGACAGAACACUCCCCAUUUUAUGUACCUUAGCAGAUUUUCACCCUGUUGACAUUCAACAAACCCCAUGGACAUCCUGUCACUGCUGGCAGUGAUGUCAGAGUUGCUCCAUACCUCACACUUUCCCUGCCGUAAGGACAGAGUUGAUUCUCAUGAUGCUAAUUUCUUCUUCACUUCAUGUUAGUCCACUGUGGGGAAAACUGUCAAGCUCCUAAAUGUCACAGACAGUGCUGUCAGGGCUGGGGGGGUGGGCAUGUGCACUUAUUUAACACAGUGGUUUCACUAUCUCAGAUUUUUUAUCUAAAAAUGUAUUUAUAUAGGAUGAAUAAAAUGAGACCUGAUCAAGCCUCAGGGAACAAGA